This 492-nucleotide ribosomal RNA is filed under the name uncultured bacterium. RNAcentral describes it as "bacterial SSU rRNA". It matches the Rfam family "Bacterial small subunit ribosomal RNA", at positions 1 to 507 of the family's 1533-position model. The record is from RNAcentral.
ACACGUACUACGUAGUUUGAUCAGUGGCUACGAGGACGACGCUGGCGGUGUGCUUCACACAUGCAAGUCGAGCGAGGUAGCAAUACCUAGUGGCGGACGGGUGAGUAACGCGUGGGAAUCUGCCUUUAGAUGGGGGAUAACGGGUCGAAAGACUCGCUAAUACCGCAUAUGACGAAAGUUGAAAGGAGUAAUCCGUCUAAAGAUGAGCCCGCGUCCGAUUAGCUAGUUGGUGGGGUAAGGGCCUACCAAGGCGACGAUCAGUAGUUGGUCUGAGAGGACGACCAGCCACACUGGGACUGAGACACGGCCCAGACUCCUACGGGAGGCAGCAGUGGGGAAUUUUGGACAAUGGGCGCAAGCCUGAUCCAGCAAUGCCGCGUGAGUGAAGAAGGCCUUCGGGUUGUAAAGCUCUUUCAGUCGAGAAGAAAAGGCUGCAGUGAAUAACUGUAGUUUAUGACGGUAUCGACAGAAGAAGCACCGGCUAACUACGUG